CUAGUGAUGUCUGGACAUGUUUCUCUGUUUGUACGCCUUGGAAGAUACGACCAGAAGCCGUUGGAUUUCGUGAAUGGAAGACGCUUUUGACAGAUUUGUUUCUGUGCACAAGACAAAUGGGCUGUCGUACUCCCGACGUAGGAAAUGAACACACGUCGCUGGGAUCUUAAAAGACAAAGUAGGGUGUGCACUUCACCCAUGCAACUCCAAUGUCAGCUUCAUGGCAGUACAAGCUUUUACAACCGUGCCCUUGAAUGUAACAAGCCAAAUAAACUGGAUAACAGAGAAAAGUUUCCUGGUUCUUUUGCCACUAUGUUCGCGUAAGAUAUUCAACUUAUCAUACCUACAUUUUUCUAAGAUCUGUACUGCUUUCACAAUGUAUCCUCCCCUUUGGCGCUUUGUGUGUAGGUGGAUUUUGGUUCCCCACUAUGUGUCACUGGAUGCACCAUGUAUAACCUUCACUCCGUAUCGUCAUACGACCGUUACCCGACCAGCGGCUUCUUCAACGUGGUACAUAACCUUAUGCUCUCUGCGCCCCGUAUAAGCGGUCUCAUAAUUCCGUUGUGGCUCACACAAUCAUGUGGGUAUAUGGGUCACAUGAGAAUUGUAUGGGGCGUUUAUACGGGAUUGUUGGAUAUGGAGAUUCUCGUAUGGGUCAUACGGGCCACAUCAGGACCCCGUAUGGUCUAUAUAACUCAUAUGUCCAUAUAACACAUAACCCCAUGUUCAAUAAUGCCAUAUAUAUGGGACCCAUAUUUAUUCGAUAUGGGUUUUUUCAAUAGGGGAAGCAAUGUUCUUACUCAUAUUACAGUGUUAUGAAAUAGUAGGCGAUGCAAAUGGCCCAUUGCAGCCCAUAACAUAAGUGACAGAAAAAUAUUUUAAAUGUCAGAAUUCAUAGCAUGAAACAUAAAAGAGGAAGUGCAGAUAAACAUAUCUUGUGACAUGCAGCCUGUUGUUUGUGAAUACUGUUCGGGAGCUUUAAUUCAAAAUUUUGUUUGUACAUGCAGAAUAAACUCUAAUUAUUUGUGUCGCUCAUGCGCAAACAAGAACUCCCUUCUGCGGUUGAGUCUGUAUAUAACGAUAUUGACAGGAACGCAGAAUUCAACCGUUAUAGCAGAGCAUUGUUAUAAUCGAGCGUAAGAAGAAUGCUGACCGACAUCAUUACCAUCGAAAUACAGUGCUUUCAACAAUUCAGGUGAAGCCAGGCAUGCACGUUCUAUUACAUAAAUCAUAUUUCUGCUUAUUUUAUGACCCUGCUGUAUUAAAGUUUUCGUCGGCGACAAAAUGAGCAUUCUGGUGCCACCGUGCACAGGGCGCCGCCAUUGGGGUACCGACAUUGGGAUGCCACCUCACUAAUGAGCAAUAACAAUGCAUAUUUUUUUUCUUUAAAACAACAAAUGCGCCAAAGUGCUGGCGCUCAUGAGCAGACACCUUCAUCGUCACCGCGCCACACUUCAGGUUAGAUGUCAUCAGUGUUUGGACUCCGUGGAAGAGCUACUAUACUUCAUAUUUUUCUGCAUGUUGCAUGUCACUGCACAAUGGUCAGCCUGUUGGAUACUCCACGUCUGCAUGUGUUGUCAAUAAUAUUUAGUACGAUGUAUGAUAUGCAGCAAAUACAACGAUGCCAAUUUUGCGGAAGGAGGUUACCUAAAGUCGCGCUUCACAACGUGUAACUUUGCAUAGGACUCACGAUACAAUGAUGCUGCAUGGGAAAUGUGUAGUAAAUUGGCUUACCUUAGAGUACUUAAUGCACAAAGUCCUGCUUUGUCACAAAAGCAAAUGUACUGUAUUUAUUCAAAUGUAAGCAGAGGCUUCUUCACGAAUAAGGGAGACAGAGGUGUGAUGUCAGCUUAGGUUGAAGGGUACCGUACCACCGGCCACAGCGCACAAUAGUGUUCCCAUCAUGAUAGCCUUAGCGAGCCAACCCCACCGAAAUGAGAG
This is a long non-coding RNA of Ornithodoros turicata, 1941 nucleotides long. RefSeq lists it as uncharacterized. Lineage: Eukaryota; Metazoa; Arthropoda; Arachnida; Ixodida; Argasidae. The record is from RefSeq and is a predicted model, not a curated record. The transcript is spliced from 3 exons.